CAGCAGCCGCGGUAACACAGAGGGUGCGAGCGUUAAUCGGAUUUACUGGGCGUAAAGCGUGCGUAGGCGGCUUUUUAAGUCGGAUGUGAAAUCCCUGAGCUUAACUUAGGAAUUGCAUUCGAUACUGGGAAGCUAGAGUAUGGGAGAGGAUGGUAGAAUUCCAGGUGUAGCGGUGAAAUGCGUAGAGAUCUGGAGGAAUACCGAUGGCGAAGGCAGCCAUCUGGCCUAAUACUGACGCUGAGGUACGAAAGCAUGGGGAGCAAACAGGAUUAGAUACCCCCGUAGUCCCUGUCUCUUAUAC
RNAcentral lists this ribosomal RNA (301 nucleotides) under uncultured bacterium. Its description in RNAcentral is "partial 16S ribosomal RNA". It matches the Rfam family "Bacterial small subunit ribosomal RNA", at positions 509 to 807 of the family's 1533-position model. The record is from RNAcentral.